Molecule: ribosomal RNA, 253 nt
Filed under: uncultured bacterium
Lineage: Bacteria
Description: partial 16S ribosomal RNA
Rfam family: Bacterial small subunit ribosomal RNA
Source: RNAcentral
UACGUAGGGUGCAAGCGUUAAUCGGAAUUACUGGGCGUAAAGCGUGCGCAGGCGGUUUUGUAAGUCUGUCGUGAAAUCCCCGGGCUCAACCUGGGAAUUGCGAUGGAGACUGCAAGGCUAGAAUCUGGCAGAGGGGGGUAGAAUUCCACGUGUAGCAGUGAAAUGCGUAGAGAUGUGGAGGAACACCGAUGGCGAAGGCAGCCCCCUGGGUCAAGAUUGACGCCCAUGCACGAAAGCGUGGGGAGCAAACAGG